This 454-nucleotide ribosomal RNA is filed under the name uncultured bacterium. RNAcentral's name for it is "bacterial SSU rRNA". It matches the Rfam family "Bacterial small subunit ribosomal RNA", at positions 346 to 793 of the family's 1533-position model. The record is from RNAcentral.
AGGCAGCAGUGGGGAAUAUUGCACAAUGGGGGAAACCCUGAUGCAGCCAUGCCGCGUGUGUGAAGAAGGCCUUCGGGUUGUAAAGCACUUUCAGUAGGGAGGAAGGUAGUGUAGUUAACACCUGCACUAUUUGACGUUACCUACAGAAGAAGCACCGGCUAACUCCGUGCCAGCAGCCGCGGUAAUACGGAGGGUGCGAGCGUUAAUCGGAAUUACUGGGCGUAAAGCGCAUGCAGGCGGCCUGUUAAGUCAGAUGUGAAAGCCCGGGGCUUAACCUCGGAAUUGCAUUUGAAACUGGCAGGCUAGAGUCUUGUAGAGGGGGUAGAAUUUCAGGUGUAGCGGUGAAAUGCGUAGAGAUCUGAAGGAAUACCAGUGGCGAAGGCGGCCCCCUGGACAAAGACUGACGCUCAGAUGCGAAAGCGUGGGGAGCAAACAGGAUUAGAUACCCUGGUAG